AGAACGAACGCUGGCGGCAUGCCUAAUACAUGCAAGUCGAACGAACACUUCGGUGUUAGUGGCGCACGGGUGCGUAACGCGUGGGAAUCUGCCCUUGGGUUCGGAAUAACAGUUGGAAACGACUGCUAAUACCGGAUGAUAUCGAAAGAUCAAAGAUUUAUCGCCCAGGGAUGAGCCCGCGUAGGAUUAGCUAGUUGGUGAGGUAAAGGCUCACCAAGGCGACGAUCCUUAGCUGGUCUGAGAGGAUGAUCAGCCACACGUGGGACUGAGACACGGCCCAGACUCCUACGGGAGCAGCAGUAGGAAUAUUGGAACAAGUGGGCGACAAG
RNAcentral lists this ribosomal RNA (329 nucleotides) under uncultured soil bacterium. RNAcentral's name for it is "bacterial SSU rRNA". It matches the Rfam family "Bacterial small subunit ribosomal RNA", at positions 26 to 381 of the family's 1533-position model. The record is from RNAcentral.